CAGCGGCGCACGGGUGAGUAACACGUAGGUAACCUACCUUUGAGACUGGGAUAACCUGUCGAAAGACGGGCUAAUACUAGAUAAGACCACCGGGGUUGCGGCCUCGGCGGUAAAAGAUGGCCUCUGCUCACUCGAAGAUGGGCCUGCGCGCCAUUAGCUAGUUGGCGGGGUAAAAGCCCACCAAGGCAAAGAUGGCUAGCUGGUCUGAGAGGAUGGCCGGCCACACUGGAACUGAGACACGGUCCAGACUCCUACGGGAGGCAGCAGUGGGGAAUAUUGCGCAAUGGGCGAAAGCCUGACGCAGCGACGCCGCGUGGGGGAUGAAGCUUUUCGGAGUGUAAACCCCUUUCGACCCGGACGAAUGACCCGCAAGGGUUUGACGGUACGGGUAUAAGAAGCCCCGGCUAACUACGUGCCAGCAGCCGCGGUAAUACGUAGGGGGCCAGCGUUGCUCGGAAUUACUGGGCGUAAAGGGUUCGUAGGUGGUGCGGCAAGUUGGGAGUGAAAUCUCUGGGCUUAACUCAGAGGCUGCUUUCAAAACUGCCGCGCUCGAGUGCGAGAGAGGUCAGUGGAAUUGCAGGUGUAGCGGUGAAAUGCGUAGAUAUCUGCAGGAACACCCGUGGCGAAGGCGGCUGACUGGAUCGCAAC
RNAcentral lists this ribosomal RNA (648 nucleotides) under uncultured bacterium. RNAcentral describes it as "bacterial SSU rRNA". It matches the Rfam family "Bacterial small subunit ribosomal RNA", at positions 93 to 740 of the family's 1533-position model. The record is from RNAcentral.